UACAUGGGCCAAGGGAGAAGAGCAUGCCCAAUGCACAUGAGGGAAGGGAUAUUAGCUUCAGAUUCAAACAAAAUGAAAAAAGAAAAACGUGCACAAGGACUUAUUUGAACACCUCAUGUUCUCCUGGCCUGAAAGUCAUCGUCUCCUCCGCGCAAGAGGUCGCCUCUGGUGGCGGAGGAGGGCCAAAUCAUGAUUUUAACCACUAAUCUCUUUGUAUGUGUCUCUUUUACACGAAUCUAUCAACAACUUCUCACAAUUCCAAAACCUAAAGCCUAAACCGGUUCUAAUUAUGUAUGAACCCUAAAUGUCAAAAGUGAAAUUAAAUACUCCUCUCAAGGAAUAAAAGCCCAAGAGGUUGGGGCUUUGAUUCCUCACACCUUGGAUCACAUCCUGGUAAUAAUUUUGAAGCAAGAAGGUGAAAUUGAGCUUACGCCGCCGGAGACGACGGAUAUGACGACGGAAUUCCAGGUGAUGUAGACAUGAGAAAGCAAACCAAGAUGACUUGUAUUUAAAGAAGAUGGUGAAUGCAUAAGUUAAAAGUAUGUGGAACCUUUUCAAACAACAAAGAUAACUUGGUGGAGAAGCAAUGUAAGAAAUGGGGUUUAGGAUCAUCAAAAUAGUCAGUUGACUUGAUCAACUAGUUGACCAAAAAGUCAAUAGUUGACCAAAUGUCAACUUAGGUAGAAAAAUGUAUUUUUUUGUAUAAAACAAUUUGUAAUGGCUUUGAUGAAGUCAUACUUUGUAAUGAAAUCCCCUUUAUUUGAAAUGCAAAUGGGCUUGGAAGUGAAAUGGAAUUUAAAUGAUGUAUUUAAUGGAAUGAAUUUGAAUGAAACAUGACUUUGAAUGAAGUGAA
Molecule: long non-coding RNA, 853 nt
Organism: Lathyrus oleraceus (garden pea)
Lineage: Eukaryota; Viridiplantae; Streptophyta; Magnoliopsida; Fabales; Fabaceae
Exons: 2
Source: RefSeq, a predicted model, not a curated record